CUUCCGCAAUGGACGAAAGUCUGACGGAGCAAUGCCGCGUGAAUGAAGAAGGUCUUCGGAUCGUAAAAUUCUGUUGUUAGAGAAGAACAAGGAGUAGGUAACUACUACUCCCUUGACGGUAUCUAACCAGAAAGCCACGGCUAACUACGUGCCAGCAGCCGCGGUAAUACGUAGGGGGCUAGCGUUAUCCGGAAUUACUGGGCGUAAAGGGUGCGUAGGUGGUUUCUUAAGUCAGAGGUGAAAGGCUACGGCUCAACCGUAGUAAGCCUUUGAAACUGGGAAACUUGAGUGCAGGAGAGGAGAGUGGAAUUCCUAGUGUAGCGGUGAAAUGCGUAGAUAUUAGGAGGAACACCAGUAGCGAAGGCGGCUCUCUGGACUGUAACUGACGCUGAGGCACGAAAGCGUGGGGAGCAAACAGG
Molecule: ribosomal RNA, 419 nt
Filed under: uncultured prokaryote
Description: bacterial SSU rRNA
Rfam family: Bacterial small subunit ribosomal RNA
Source: RNAcentral